CACACACACACACACACACACACACACACAGGCCACUAUGAACUUUGAGUGGCUGCUUGACACUUUUCUGCCCGCGGUUGCAACCCCAGACAGCGGAGGCGUGGUGGCGCCCCCUACAGGAGGCGUGGUGAAGUGCACUACAGGAGCAGACAGAGGGAUCCAGCUUGCAGGUCCUGCAGCAGGGGCAGGUUUAGGGGCAGGGGCAGGUUUAGGGGGAGGGGCAGGUUUAGGGGCAGUGGAGGGGAUGAUCCGGCUCCUGGCCCUUCCCUCUGAGCCGACUCAGAGCCCCGUCUUCACUGCUCUCCCUGUCAACCUCAUCCUGCAGUCUGCCCCCCUCGUCCACCAGGUGGCGCCACCUCCCAAGGCAAAGGCCAAGAGGCGCAAGAAGCCAUCUCAGUCCAAGGAUCCCAACAGCUUCAAUGAGAAGUACCGCCGGCUCAUGGCCAAGAUGGAGCAGCCCCAGCUGGUGGCGCCCCCUGUGGCUCAGGAGGGGAAGGAUACCCAGCCCUGCGCUGGCUACAGUGGGGACGUUGGCCCGGUCAUGGGCUCCUCCUUCAGCGGACCCGGGGCUGGGGGUCAGAACACCCAGGAGCCGCUCAUCAGAGGUUGCCAUGACAACAGCACCCCAGCGCCCAUCACCCCGGAGGAGAUGUACGGAGACCCACAUCAGUGGGCAGCGGGC
This is a long non-coding RNA of Clupea harengus (Atlantic herring), 682 nucleotides long. Lineage: Eukaryota; Metazoa; Chordata; Actinopteri; Clupeiformes; Clupeidae. The record is from Ensembl.